CGGUGAGUAGAUGGAAGCUUCUCUAGCUAUAGCAAAAUGAACAUACCGCAUCAUCCCAUUAUAGGUUCCAAAUUCUAGUCCUGUUGCAAGACAGACGAAGCACUACAAGAGACAUAAAUUGAAAAGUAUCAGUCCUAAAGGUUUGUUUAGGUUUCAACUAGUUUUUCUUUAUCUUCAAGACUUGCUAGCUUUACUUAAUUCAAUUCUAUCAUAAUCAGUACUAUAUAUAGUAGCAUGUCUUCGAGCAUGCUAAAAGCCAAACGAUCUAAGAAAUAUAGUUACAAGUGAACCAAAUAUUCAGAUUAAAAACAAGGAAAAAAGAAAAAGUUAAAGCAAAUUUCAGGGAAGUUGAUCAAACAUUUUUAAUUACCAACUUCCCUGCUAGCAAUUCUGUAAAAAGGCUCAGAAAUAUAGUAGACCCAUGGCAGAUCUAGGAUUUUCCUCAAUUUAAGUUCAUGAUUAUAAAAAGGCAACAUGAAACCUACAAACAGGGAUCAUUAUUAAGUGUACACAAAUGGUAAAUUAUAAACCUAUUUAUACGUUAAAACGGUUAGGGAACAAGAAGUUUCCGUUCCCAACGAGCUAUUUUUCCAAAACCGUAAAAAAUCUUGUGUCGCUUAUUGGCAACACCUAUCCAAUAUCAAUUAAGCUCCUCAAAUUUGACGGUUAAAGUACUUCAACACGUGCAGCUAUUUGGAAAACGACAUUCCUUAGAUACAUCUUAAAAAUGUUAUGAAAAGAUUGAACUGAAUGGUCAACAACCAUGCACCAAACUUUACGACAUUCCUUAGAUUCAUCUAAAGAAAAGGACAUUCCUUAGAUUCAUCUAAGGAAAAGGAUAUUCCUUUUUUUUUUUUUAUCUAACACGAUGGCCUGAUUCCAUUUAUGACUAUUUGGCAGGAGCGGUGCUACCACUAGCCACAAGCCAGAGCAAGGGGCCGGCGACUGAGAGACUUGCAGAUCUAGGGUGUGGGUUUAGUACCGGGUCUGGGGAGAGAGAAAACGGCUUGAUUCAUAUGUUUUCGAUACAUAAAAUAUAAUAGGAAAAAGACAUUCCUUAGAUUCAUGUAAAACGCAUUACGACAAAGCUGAACUGAAUGUUCAACGAACAUGCAAUUCAACACGUGAAGCUAUUUGAAUUUUUUUUACUUUAGAUUCAUCAAAAACAUGUCACGAGGAAGCCGAACAGGAUGUUCAGCGACCUUGUAUCACGUACUGCUAAAUAUAUCUUUUCAACAUUAACCGAUCCCAAAAGAUCUUGUAUGAUCUGAGCACAUAUCUGAUCACUAGUAUCUGUGCAAGUCCACGAGUCCUAUCCUUUGAACACUACAAGAAUGAGCAACUCAAUCUCAGCUUAUAUAACCUAAUCCGAAUCAAUGGGCAAGGAGAUGCUUAUGCUGCAUGGUAUCAACUAUCUACACCAAGAAGUUUCCCGAACAAAGCAUGGUACUUAUGCUUUAUCGAAAUAAAGAUCAAAACAAUUCCAUGCAGUUAAAAUAAUCAAAAUUUUUAUCAUCCAAGCCAAUUAAACAAUUUAAAACACUGGAAAACCUUUCUCUAGUAAAGAACAAUGAAAACUUCAGAUCUGCACUUCGAACUAUCAAAACAGCUGUCAGGUAAUCAAGUGAAAGUCUUUAUUAUUUCGUAGGAUAUUUUUCCAUGCCUUACCCAAUCAACAUAAAAAAACACUCACAAUAACAUCACUAAAUUAAAAAAACAUAACCAUAAAAAAAAAAAUCAAAUUCCAACCCAAAUCUUCAAAUUUAAAAAGAUGAUAAAAAGAGUAGAGAAUUUGGAGGACCUCGACCUCGGUCCCGUCGUUCUCAACCUUCUUCCGCAUCACCCAGCCCUCAGAAUCGCAUAACUUCUGGGCGGUGCCAUUGGUCAGGAUAAGACCAACUCAACAAACUUCACACUCUGUGCAGCUCGACAACAACAAAAAGAGGGGCGUUUUAUCCUUUAGGAUUUGAUACGAACAAGGUGGCAAACAUGGUAAGCGAGGCCAGAAAGGGAGAGAGCUCGGUUGGCAAACAGGUGGCGCCAUGUUUUGGCGAGGAUGUGAGAGAAGGUAACGUAACAAAGAUGAUGAGGAAGAAUCUUAUCUGGGUUUUAGCUGGUUCUUGAAAGAGAGAGAGGGAGCUGCGUGUUUUCUGUGAGGGGUGGAGAGAGAGACACAGAGCGAGCCAAAGUUAGGUUUUAUGGGAAAAGCAGCCGUUACUGGUUUAAUUUUGACUGUGUGGAAACUAUUGUGUUAAACGGGCCAGGCCUAGAUGGUUGGGCCAUUAGAAGAGUCUAGACUAACAAAUAUCCUUCAAAUAAAUCUGAGAAAUUGUUUGAAAUUAUGAACAUGCAAAUCUAAAUUGUAGAAAUGAUCGCUU
RNAcentral lists this long non-coding RNA (2378 nucleotides) under Malus domestica (apple). RNAcentral's name for it is "long non-coding RNA (MDOM_LNC005060)". Lineage: Eukaryota; Viridiplantae; Streptophyta; Magnoliopsida; Rosales; Rosaceae. The record is from RNAcentral.